AUUGAACGCUGGCGGCAGGCUUAACACAUGCAAGUCGAGCGAGCGGCGGCCGGGAGAGUAGUGUGUGGGAACCUGCCCUAUGGAGGGGGAUAACUAGUAGAAACGGUAGCUAAUACCGCAUACCAUCAUAUGUGCUUAUAUGGGAUUAUCUAGUAGGUGGGGUAAUGGCUCACUUAGGCGAAGAUCUCUAGCUGGUCUGCGAGGAUGAACAGCCACACUGGAACUGAGACACGGUCCAGACUCCUGCGGGAGGCAGCAGUGGGGAAUAUUGCACAAUGGGCGCAAGCCUGAUGCAGCCAUGCCGCGUGAGGGAAGAAGGCCUUCGGGUUGUAAAGCACUUACAGCAAGGAGGCGUUACUCGCAGAGGAAGCACCGGCUAACUCCGUGCCAGCAGCCGCGGUAAUUC
This 406-nucleotide ribosomal RNA is filed under the name uncultured bacterium. Its description in RNAcentral is "partial 16S ribosomal RNA". It matches the Rfam family "Bacterial small subunit ribosomal RNA", at positions 30 to 526 of the family's 1533-position model. The record is from RNAcentral.